Molecule: ribosomal RNA, 497 nt
Filed under: uncultured bacterium
Lineage: Bacteria
Description: partial 16S ribosomal RNA
Rfam family: Bacterial small subunit ribosomal RNA
Source: RNAcentral
GAUGAACGCUGGCGGCGUGCCUAAUACAUGCAAGUCGAGCGAACAGACGAGGAGCUUGCUCCUCUGACGUUAGCGGCGGACGGGUAAGUAACACGUGGAUAACCUACCUAUAAGACUGGGAUAACUUCGGGAAACCAGAGCUAAUACCGGAUAAUAUAUUGAACCGCAUGGUUCAAUAGUGAAAGACGGUUUUGCUGUCACUUAUAGAUGGAUCCGCGCCGCAUUAGCUAGUUGGUAAGGUAACGGCUUACCAAGGCAACGAUGCGUAGCCGACCUGAGAGGGUGAUCGGCCACACUGGAACUGAGACACGGUCCAGACUCCUACGGGAGGCAGCAGUAGGGAAUCUUCCGCAAUGGGCGAAAGCCUGACGGAGCAACGCCGCGUGAGUGAUGAAGGUCUUCGGAUCGUAAAACUCUGUUAUUAGGGAAGAACAAAUGUGUAAGUAACUAUGCACGUCUUGACGGUACCUAAUCAGAAAGCCACGGCUAACUACGUG